UAUAGAUGGAUCCGCGCUGCAUUAGCUAGUUGGUAAGGUAACGGCUUACCAAGGCAACGAUGCAUAGCCGACCUGAGAGGGUGAUCGGCCACACUGGAACUGAGACACGGUCCAGACUCCUACGGGAGGCAGCAGUAGGGAAUCUUCCGCAAUGGGCGAAAGCCUGACGGAGCAACGCCGCGUGAGUGAUGAAGGUCUUCGGAUCGUAAAACUCUGUUAUUAGGGAAGAACAUAUGUGUAAGUAACUGUGCACAUCUUGACGGUACCUAAUCAGAAAGCCACGGCUAACUACGUGCCAGCAGCCGCGGU
Molecule: ribosomal RNA, 309 nt
Filed under: Staphylococcus aureus
Lineage: Bacteria; Bacillati; Bacillota; Bacilli; Caryophanales; Staphylococcaceae
Description: bacterial SSU rRNA
Rfam family: Bacterial small subunit ribosomal RNA
Source: RNAcentral